AUGCGUGAUCAGGUCGGCCUGGACCUGGACGGCUUUCCUCUCGACCAUGAGUUUCCGGAGGACUACGGGCUAGAGGAAGAGGACGAGUGCGACAUCGAAGGGGAGCCUUUGUUCGAGGACGAGCUCGCCAACCAAGCCGCCGGGGCGAAGCCGAAGCGCAAGAGCAAGCAGACCAAGGCAUACAAGGCGGCCUAGGACAAGCUUCUUUGCGAGUGUUGGAUAGACAUUGGGCAAGACCCCAAGACGGGCGCCGAACAAAAGCAUUCAACUUUUUGGAUUCGUGUCCACCGCGAGGUCCAUGAGCGCAAGAAGUUUCCGCCGUACCACUAG
RNAcentral lists this ribosomal RNA (330 nucleotides) under Triticum aestivum (bread wheat). Its description in RNAcentral is "partial small subunit ribosomal RNA". Lineage: Eukaryota; Viridiplantae; Streptophyta; Magnoliopsida; Poales; Poaceae. The record is from RNAcentral.